This 87-nucleotide transfer RNA is filed under the name Candidatus Jacksonbacteria bacterium. Its description in RNAcentral is "tRNA-Leu". It matches the Rfam family "tRNA". Rfam says of the family: Transfer RNA (tRNA) molecules are approximately 80 nucleotides in length. Their secondary structure includes four short double-helical elements and three loops (D, anti-codon, and T loops). The record is from RNAcentral. Lineage: Bacteria; Candidatus Jacksoniibacteriota.
GCCUCCGUGGCGGAACCUGGUAUACGCGCAUGGCUUAGGACCAUGUCCCUUUAAGGGUUAGAGGUUCAAAUCCUCUCGGAGGCACCA